Molecule: ribosomal RNA, 1078 nt
Filed under: fungal sp. HSS48 LX-2016
Lineage: Eukaryota; Fungi
Description: SSU rRNA
Rfam family: Eukaryotic small subunit ribosomal RNA
Source: RNAcentral
CGGGGGGCGGGAGCUAGGGUAUGAGCAAUUAUACCGUGAAACUGCGAAUGGCUCAUUAAAUCAGUUAUCGUUUAUUUGAUAGUACCUUACUACUUGGAUAACCGUGGUAAUUCUAGAGCUAAUACAUGCUAAAAACCCCAACUUCGGGAGGGGUGUAUUUAUUAGAUAAAAAACCAAUGCCCUUCGGGGCUCUUUGGUGAUUCAUGAUAACUUCUCAGAUCGCAUGGCCUUGCGCCGGCGACGGUUCAUUCAAAUUUCUGCCCUAUCAACUUUCGAUGGUAAGGUAUUGGCUUACCAUGGUUUCAACGGGUAACGGGGAAUUAGGGUUCGAUUCCGGAGAGGGAGCCUGAGAAACGGCUACCACAUCCAAGGAAGGCAGCAGGCGCGCAAAUUACCCAAUCCCGACACGGGGAGGUAGUGACAAUAAAUACUGAUACAGGGCUCUUUUGGGUCUUGUAAUUGGAAUGAGUACAAUUUAAACCUCUUAACGAGGAACAAUUGGAGGGCAAGUCUGGUGCCAGCAGCCGCGGUAAUUCCAGCUCCAAUAGCGUAUAUUAAAGUUGUUGCAGUUAAAAAGCUCGUAGUUGAACCUUUGGCCUGGCUGGCAGGUCCGCCUCACCGCGUGCACUUGUCCGGCCGGGCCUUCUCUUCUGGAGAACCGCAUGCCCUUCACUGGGUGUGUUGGGGACCAGGACUUUUACUUUGAAAAAAUUAGAGUGUUCAAAGCAGGCCUUUGCUCGAAUACGUUAGCAUGGAAUAAUAGAAUAGGACGUGCGGUCCUAUUUUGUUGGUUUCUAGGACCGCCGUAAUGAUUAAUAGGGACAGUCGGGGGCAUCAGUAUUCAAUUGUCAGAGGUGAAAUUCUUGGAUUUAUUGAAGACUAACUACUGCGAAAGCAUUUGCCAAGGAUGUUUUCAUUAAUCAGUGAACGAAAGUUAGGGGAUCGAAGACGAUCAGAUACCGUCGUAGUCUUAACCAUAAACUAUGCCGACUAGGGAUCGGGCGGUGUUUUUAUUAUGACCCGCUCGGCACCUUACGAGAAAUCAAAGUGUUGGGUCUGUGAGAGAUGAAGUCCCUUG